This 500-nucleotide ribosomal RNA is filed under the name uncultured bacterium. RNAcentral describes it as "partial 16S ribosomal RNA". It matches the Rfam family "Bacterial small subunit ribosomal RNA", at positions 8 to 526 of the family's 1533-position model. The record is from RNAcentral.
AGAGUUUGAUCCUGGCUCAGAACGAACGUUGGCGGCAUGGAUUAGGCAUGCAAGUCGCGCGAAUCCCCGCAAGGGGGGAAGCGGCGUAAGGGGCAGUAAGGCGUGGGUAACCUACCCCCCGGUCCGGCAUAGCCCGUCGAGAGACGGGGUAAUUCCGGGCGACACCCCCUCCCGGCAUCGGGGGGGGGUCACAGGUCCGCCGCCGGGGGCGGGGCCCACGUGGUAUUAGCUAGUUGGUGGGGUGACGGCCCACCAAGGCGGAGAUGCCUAGCGGGUGUGAGAGCACGACCCGCGCCACUGGCACUGAGACAAUGGCCAGACACCUACGGGUGGCUGCAGUCGAGGAUCUGCGGCAAGGGGGGCAACCCUGACCGAGCGAGGCCGCGUGCGGGACGAAGGCCAUCGGGUUGUAAACCGCUGUCGAGGGGGAGGAAGGCGUAAGCUUGAACCAUCCCUGGAGGAAGCUCGGGCUAAGUUCGUGCCAGCCGCCGCGGUAAUAC